AGAGUUUGAUCCUGGCUCAGAUUGAACGCUGGCGGCAUGCUUUACACAUGCAAGUCGAACGGUAACGCGGGGGCAACCCUGGCGACGAGUGGCGAACGGGUGAGUAAUACAUCGGAACAUAUCCAGUAGCGGGGGAUAACCUAUCGAAAGAUGGACUAAUACCGCAUACGAUCUACGGAUGAAAGCAGGGGACCGCAAGGCCUUGCACUAUUGGAGUGGCCGAUGUCGGAUUAGCUAGUUGGUGAGGUAAAGGCUUACCAAGGCGAUCCGUAGCUGGUCUGAGAGGACGAUCAGCCACACUGGAACUGAGACACGGUCCAGACUCCUACGGGAGGCAGCAGUGGGGAAUUUUGGACAAUGGGCGCAAGCCUGAUCCAGCCAUGCCGCGUGAGUGAAGAAGGCCUUCGGGUUGUAAAGCUCUUUCGGUGAAGACGAAACGGUUCGUGCUAAUAACGCGGACUAAUGACGGUACUCACAGAAGAAGCACCGGCUAACUACGUGCCAGCAGCCGCGGUAAUACGUAGGGUGCAGGCGUUAAUCGGAAUUACUGGGCGUAAAGCGUGCGCAGGCGGUUUGCUAAGACAGGUGUGAAAUCCCCGGGCUUAACCUGGGAAUUGCGCUUGUAACUGGCAAGCUAGAGUGUGGCAGAGGGGGGUAGAAUUCCACGUGUAGCAGUGAAAUGCGUAGAUAUGUGGAGGAAUACCGAUGGCGAAGGCAGCCCCCUGGGUUAACACUGACGCUCAUGCACGAAAGCGUGGGGAGCAAACAGGAUUAGAUACCCUGGUAGUCCACGCCCUAAACUAUGUCAACUAGUUGUCGGGGAAGAAAUUCCUUGGUAACGAAGCUAACGCGUGAAGUUGACCGCCUGGGGAGUACGGCCGCAAGGUUAAAACUCAAAGGAAUUGACGGGGACCCGCACAAGCGGUGGAUUAUGUGGAUUAAUUCGAUGCAACGCGAAAAACCUUACCUACCCUUGACAUGCUAGGAAGCCCGCAGAGAUGUGGGUGUGCCCGAAAGGGAACCUAGACACAGGUGCUGCAUGGCUGUCGUCAGCUCGUGUCGUGAGAUGUUGGGUUAAGUCCCGCAACGAGCGCAACCCUUGCCAUUAGUUGCUACAUUCAGUUGGGCACUCUAAUGGGACCGCCGGUGACAAACCGGAGGAAGGUGGGGAUGACGUCAAGUCCUCAUGGCCCUUAUGGGUAGGGCUUCACACGUAAUACAAUGGUCGGUACAGAGGGCUGCCAACCCGCAAGGGGGAGCUAAUCCCAGAAAGCCGAUCGUAGUCCGGAUUGUAGUCUGCAACUCGACUGCAUGAAGCCGGAAUCGCUAGUAAUCGCGGAUCAGCAUGUCGCGGUGAAUACGUUCCCGGGUCUUGUACACACCGCCCGUCACACCAUGGGAGUGGGUUCCACCAGAAGUAGUUAGCCUAACCGCAAGGAGGGCGAUUACCACGGUGAGAUUCAUGACUGGGGUGAAGUCGAAACAAGGUA
RNAcentral lists this ribosomal RNA (1490 nucleotides) under metagenome. RNAcentral's name for it is "bacterial SSU rRNA". It matches the Rfam family "Bacterial small subunit ribosomal RNA". The record is from RNAcentral.